CCUACGGGAGGCAGCAGUGAGGAAUAUUGGUCAAUGGGCGGAAGCCUGAACCAGCCAAGUCGCGUGAGGGAAUAAGGCCCUACGGGUCGUAAACCUCUUUUGCCGGGGAGCAAGGGCGGGGACGUGUCCCGGCCCGGAGAGUACCCGGAGAAAAAGCAUCGGCUAACUACGUGCCAGCAGCCGCGGUAAUACGUAGGUGGCGAGCGUUAUCCGGAAUGAUUGGGCGUAAAGGGUGCGUAGGCGGCCUGCUAAGUCUGGAGUGAAAGGUACCGGCUCAACCGGUAUAGGCUCUGGAAACUGGCGGG
Molecule: ribosomal RNA, 305 nt
Filed under: uncultured bacterium
Lineage: Bacteria
Description: bacterial SSU rRNA
Rfam family: Bacterial small subunit ribosomal RNA
Source: RNAcentral